Zingiber officinale is the source of this 1319-nucleotide RNA transcript. It is a transcript of the gene named protein FAR-RED ELONGATED HYPOCOTYL 3-like, with no coding region annotated. The record is from RefSeq and is a predicted model, not a curated record. Lineage: Eukaryota; Viridiplantae; Streptophyta; Magnoliopsida; Zingiberales; Zingiberaceae. The transcript is spliced from 4 exons.
AGCUGAUUUCAAAUCAAAUACAACUGUUCCCUAUUUAAUGUUUCCAAUUGAGAUUUUAAAGCAUGCUAGUGAAAUUUAUACUCCUGAGGUAUACAAGUGUUUUCAACAGGAGUGGUGCUUAUCUCAUGAUUCUAAUCUUGAAAUUUGUGAGGAUGUUGAUACAUUUGCAAAAUAUAAAGUUACUCCUCACAAAAAGAAAAACCAUCAUAUAGUUACACUUGAUAAGAAGUGUGAAAAGAUUGAGUGUAGCUGUAGAAAAUUUGAAUUUGCUGGGAUUUUGUGUUCUCAUAUUCUGAAAAUAUUUACGUGGAAUAAUAUCAUGAAGAUCCCAAGUGAUUAUGUAUUGAAAAGGUGGACAAGAAAAGCAAAAAUUGGAUAUUUUGGAGUAAAUGAUUCAAUGGCCAACAAUGCUAGUUUGGAUCCAAAAGUACUUCAAAACAUGCGUUACAAAGAGUUGUGUGGGUUGAAUGUUCAAUUGGUUACCAAGGCAGCAGAAAGGGAUGAUACCUACAUGUUUGUUAAAGAUGCUAUGUUGAGCUUGUGUAAGAUAGUGGAUGAUAAAUUACAAGUUAAUGAAUCAAAUGUCCAACAAUUAAAUGUGAGCCAAGCAUCCAGGGAAUUUGAUUAUGGUGAAGGGAACUCUACUGGAGUAAAAGGGAUUAAAAUGAAGAAAAAAACGGUGUCAGGUAAGAGGUUGAAAGGUGGGUUAGAGAAGCUUUCAAGGAAAAGAAAAGCAACGAGGAAAACAAACCAAGCUUCAACAAUUGGUGUAGAUCAAAGUAUUUCCACCGUGGGCAGCGUACAAUGUGACCGGAUCAUUCACCAAGUUGCCUAUAAAUUAUGUGCCAACAAUUGGUAGCUCUGUUGGUAGUUUCAAUAUGACUGAGACUCAAUUUCCACCAUUAUUGGCAUCACAACUUUCUCAGGUGCAAUCCCCAUUUGUGCAAUUUGCUAGACCACCUCGUGCGGAUUCCUCUCCUUAGACAGUAACGAUCUCGUAUGUGCCUAUGUCUAUUUAUAUGUGCACCUGAAAUACUAGUUAAUUUAUUGAUAUGAUUUCCUUUCUUGACAGGUUCCAAAUACUUUAGGUUCCAACUAAUCUAUUGUUUAGUUGCUUUGUGAACAGGGAGUUUGGUUCAUUAAGAAAUUUUAGAAAUAAAUCUCUGUUUGAACUGAGAACAUCCAGCUUUGUGAACAGGCAAGUACUAUUUUUAUCUCGUUCUGAUUACCUUCACAGCUUCCCCUCUUUUGAGUUGAUUUAUGCCAAACUUCAUUUGCACCAUCUUGUUCUUUUCGAUGAUCAGCUUGAUGAGACUGAG